GAUGAACGCUGGCGGCGUGCCUAAUACAUGCAAGUCGAGCGAACAGACGAGGAGCUUGCUCCUUUGACGUUAGCGGCGGACGGGUGAGUAACACGUAGGUAACCUACCUAUAAGACUGGGAUAACUUCGGGAAACCGGAGCUAAUCCCGGAUAAUAUUUCGAACCGCAUGGUUCGAUAGUGAAAGAUGGCUUUGCUAUCACUUAUAGAUGGACCUGCGCCGUAUUAGCUAGUUGGUAAGGUAACGGCUUACCAAGGCAACGAUACGUAGCCGACCUGAGAGGGUGAUCGGCCACACUGGAACUGAGACACGGUCCAUACUCCUACGGGAGGCAGCAGUAGGGAAUCUUCCGCAAUGGGCGAAAGCCUGACGGAGCAACGCCGCGUGAGUGAUGAAGGUCUUCGGAUCGUAAAACUCUGUUAUUAGGGAAGAACAAACGUGUAAGUAACUGUGCACGGCUUGACGGUACCUAAUCAGAAAGCCACGGCUAACUACGUG
Molecule: ribosomal RNA, 497 nt
Filed under: uncultured bacterium
Lineage: Bacteria
Description: partial 16S ribosomal RNA
Rfam family: Bacterial small subunit ribosomal RNA
Source: RNAcentral